GCUUAAUAGGUCCCACAAAGAACCCAAAAAUGGGUUCACGGUUGGAGAUGCUCUAAGUAACUGAAAACCUCUCUUCUAGUUUUUUCAAUAUAAAAUAUACUCUCUUUCAUAUAACAACCCACUCACAUUUCAAGAAAAUAAACUCUUUCUCUUCCCAUCCUCACUUUUUCUGCAUUUUGAAAAAACCCAUCUCCACUCAAAGAACACACUAAAAACUCAACUUCCAUAUCACAACAACUUUAUCUCUUCACCUCCCAUAUAAACCUCUCCCUCCUAUCCAUUAAAACCUUACGACCUUCUUCCUCCAUUUUUAACUCAACUGAGCUCCACCAUAAUCGUUACUCAUUCCGCCGGCGAACGACAUACAACCUCCUCUCCGCCAUUAAUCCUCAAAACUCCUUCAACCUAACAACAACAACUCCAAAAAUUGAAAUCAUGAAAGAAAACGUAAACAUAUAAGACAGAAAUUUGUGAAACAAGACUGCAUCUUAUGACCACCUUCGAACUGCACAACCAAUCAGACUGCCAAACCACCGCGCAUAAGCUUUCUG
This 551-nucleotide long non-coding RNA is filed under the name Lathyrus oleraceus (garden pea). Its description in RNAcentral is "Pisum sativum (pea) long non-coding RNA (PSAT_LNC030621)". The record is from RNAcentral. Lineage: Eukaryota; Viridiplantae; Streptophyta; Magnoliopsida; Fabales; Fabaceae.